RNAcentral lists this ribosomal RNA (425 nucleotides) under uncultured bacterium. RNAcentral describes it as "partial 16S ribosomal RNA". It matches the Rfam family "Bacterial small subunit ribosomal RNA", at positions 354 to 796 of the family's 1533-position model. The record is from RNAcentral.
GUGGGGAAUAUUGGGCAAUGGGCGAAAGCCUGACCCAGCAACGCCGCGUGAAGGAAGAAGGUCUUCGGAUCGUAAACUUCUAUCCUUGGUGAAGAUAAUGACGGUAGCCGAGAAGGAAGCCCCGGCUAACUACGUGCCAGCAGCCGCGGUAAUACGUAGGGGGCAAGCGUUGUCCGGAAUGAUUGGGCGUAAAGGGCGCGUAGGCGGCCUGGUAAGUCUGGAGUGAAAGUCCUGCUUUUAAGGUGGGAAUUGCUUUGGAGACUGUCGGGCUUGAGUGCAGGAGAGGUAAGUGGAAUUCCCGGUGUAGCGGUGAAAUGCGUAGAGAGCGGGAGGAACACCAGUGGCGAAGGCGACUUACUGGACUGUAACUGACGCUGAGGCGCGAAAGUGUGGGGAGCAAACAGGAUUAGAAACCCCAGUAGUCC